Long non-coding RNA from Catharus ustulatus (Swainson's thrush), 2154 nucleotides. Lineage: Eukaryota; Metazoa; Chordata; Aves; Passeriformes; Turdidae. The record is from Ensembl.
CUGGCAAGUGCCCGUCGUGCCUGCCAGCAGCUGUGUGUGUGAAACACAACGAUCAGAUGUGCUGCCAGUCUGGGGAGCCUGAAGUUUUCCUGAGGCAGAAGCCUGAAGAUAUUGAGGGCUGUCAUUCAGAAGUUCAUGACAGAGCAGCGAACACGUUCCUUGUGGAAACUCCGCAUCAGAAGGAAUUGCAAGCCCCUUCUCAGGAGGAAAGACAAGCACAAGCUGAAACACCCAAGCUGCAGUCAGUGGCAGAACACCGCUGGAGGAAGGAUCACGCCUCGUCAGCGGGUGUUGGCUUUCCAAGGCUGCUCAAGUACCCUGCCAGAGUAAUUAGUAGUGAUCUGAAUCAGACAUCUCUAUGUACACGUCUGUCUACAAUGGUGACAUGUUUCCUCAUACAUCUGCAGUCAACAGCAUUUUUGAGGUGGAUACACUCCCUAGCCCGCAGUAAUCCGCUGCUUUGUGCUUGUUGUCACUCUUGUUUGUCCCAGAUAGAUCCUCGCGUUGUCUCCAUGUUGCUCUGGGAUCCCAGCCUAGCUGGGAGCAUCACUGAAAAGUGAAGGACAAAGCUGGAGGGAAAAGUGUUUAAUUUAGCUGGGACAAGUCAGACUUUGCAUCUACCAAAGAAAAGAGCAGAUUUUGAUCCCACUGUGUUUAUAUUUGUUUUGAAAGGAAAAAAUGGGCAGUUUAUUUGUUGCAACAUGCGCAUUUCACUCUCAGCUCUAGUAGCUAGGUAAACAUUUCCCAGUAAUUUCCCAUAAGAAAAAAGCUGGAAAAUUGGGGAAAUAGUGUUGUUCUUUCACCAAAAAACAUUUACAACAUACAGCAUGGAACUUGCCUUUUCUCUGAGUACUCCAUAAAAUGUUAUGGCAUAGGUGUAGCAACAGUUGACCAGGUCCAGACACCGCCUCUCACUCCGAGCGGCCAGGCUGAGGUCAUGUCUCAGUUAAUUUUAUUUUAUUAAUUUGUUUUAUAAUUACUUGCUUUCACAAAAGGCUUGUAAUACCGGAUGGAAAGAGGGGUGAAAUUCACCACUGCACUUCUGUACAUGCUUCCUCCAGGAGGGGGCCACAAGGGGCGUGGGUGCCCCUCGUGCCUUUGCAGUGCCAACCAAGGACAGUCCACAGGGCUCCUGAGGCCAUAGGAAGGUGUAUGAAAGAAAGGCAGAGCCCUACCAGCCUGGCAGGAGACAGAGAGAAAGGGUGGGAGCUGACCUUUCCUAGAAGGGAGCUAUGGAGGCUCAGGCCCUGUGGAGCCAGCAGCUGGGACAGGAGGGGUGUGGAUGAGAGGGAGGGAGAUGCAGACUGGCAGUACCUGUUUGUGCUACUUCACUGUGACUGCUCGUGCAACUCUUCAGACUUACCUUUGUGUGUUUCAUUUUUUAAUCAUCCCCCAAAAUCUCAAGUAAACUUGCUUGUCUCACCCUGGCUAGGGCCAGCCCUCUCAUCUCUGCCCUGUGUGCCAGCCAUGCUCUGUCUCCUUCCCCAGAAAGCUCCCUUCCCUCUGCCAGCCUGUGAUGGCUGUCCACACCAGAAGCGCACACUGAUUCCGCCAGGCUGCCUUUCCCCUCUUCAACCACAUCCAAUGAAAUGUGGACAUCUGCACAUAGUGGUGUGAUUUAGUUCAGCCUCCAAUAUUUCACGCUUCCAGGAUUACUGUGGUAUUACUACAUUAUUCAUGGUGCUCCCAUGAGGUGCAUGAAUGUGUGCAAGGUGUCCUGCAGAAAUUUCCAAGCUUUGAACUGCUGAAUGGUUUGCUAGAAAGUGGAAUAUGACAAUCCCACCCUUGGGUGGGAUGGGAUCACAUUUUCUGUUGCUUGUUCCCAGCAUGGAUUGUGUUUCCCUGCAGUGCUGGUAGACCAGAUUUAUUCAUGUACCUGCUGUCUUGUGUUUCAUUUGCUUUGGCAACUCCCUAACUCCUGGUCAUAGUGGGACAUCACUGCAUGCCCGGCCGCCUGCAUGACUGCCAGGACAGUGAUAACCCACCUUGUCUCUUGAGGGUGGCUCAGAUUACAGCCAAAGAAAAAAUAUUGUCUGCUCCAUUGGUCCCCAGGCCCAACACUUGUAUGUGACACGUUACCUGCUACGUACUCCCACAUGACUCAUGACCGCAAAAAUAAUAAAAAACUAAUGGGUAAGCUGGCCUACAAGGUAU